AAAACACCCCCACAUAGUCAUUGAUUGAAUUUAAGUUAACUGUGGAAUUUAAGAUGAGUAUAAUGGUGGAUGGAAGCUUUUUACUUGUGGAAAUUUCAGACUAGUAAUUCUUAUGGAGACUAUUAUGUAAUGUGUUUGAAAUCAUUGGAUAUCGUUCUUCUCGCUGCUGUUUAACCUUCACAUUUCUGUUUUUAUGGGUACAAACCUUUCUUUGCGAGCAUCUAUUUCAUAUUACAUUUUUUUGGUGAAGGCCCUUCCCCCCCCUGAUGUCAUGCAUUUAUUUGUCAAUCAGGGAAACUUG
Molecule: unclassified non-coding RNA, 301 nt
Filed under: Hevea brasiliensis (rubber tree)
Lineage: Eukaryota; Viridiplantae; Streptophyta; Magnoliopsida; Malpighiales; Euphorbiaceae
Source: RNAcentral